UUUUUAAUGUGAGCAUUUAAACUCACCGUUUGUUACAGAUUUAGUUAAGGUACUUCAUCUUAAGGUUUUGUCAAGGAGAAGUGCUCUGAAGGUAAAUCUGUACACCUCUCUCCCCCUCCAGCUCUUCCUCUUGGUGCCAAGCCACCCCUAGAAGCUCCCCUGCUUGGCAGACAGUACAGUUUCUGGAGGAUCUGAGUUGAUGUUUGCUGGUGCAAAAUGAAAAAAUGCUCCGCUAAUGCUUGUACAUGUUUAAGCAUGGAUUCUGACCAGCCUAUGCUUGACCCUUUCUAAAACAGGGAAAAAAUACCGCCUGUAUUCUGUAUAGUUUGGGGAGAAAGCCAGAUGAGAAAUCCAUGAUUUACAUUAUCAAAUUGUUCAGUGUCUUGCAGAGGACAGGCUAAUGGGCUGGUUGAUAUCUUAAACUUGUUAUUCUAGAAACUCUGAGAUUUUCUUGUAGUUGGCAAAAUGCAUGAAGUCCUGGGACAGAAAUGUGUUUUAAAAGAUUUUGAGACUCACUGGUUUCAUGUGACAGUACUCUGAGCACAGAUAGCAAUUGCUUACAAAAACUAAUGUUUUCUUUGUAGAAUUACAUCAUAAUUUUUUUUCUAGUUAAGGAAAAACAAAACCAAAAUCUGCUUCUUUUCUAAAGAUGUCUUUGGAUAAUACAAACUGUCUUCACAGCCUAUAGUUUUGAUACUCCCAGAACAGAGGCCAUACAGAUUCCCAAACAUCAAUAUUUUCAGGGACUCUUAGAUUGACUAGCAGUCCUUUUCUACCAGCUACCCCUGAAACACAAACUUAAUGUUCAGGUUUAUUUCUAGCUGCUCUGUCAUUUAAGAACAUAUCUGAAAGUCUGAUUACUACAGGAACUCCUUGCCUGGAAGAUAGAACCAAUUGUUCUCAGCUUCCUAAUAAUAGAUGAAGAACUGCACAAUGCUUUGCAACUGCAAUGAACUCCUUGUUACUUCUUACAUCUAAUAUUGGCAAACUUUUACCUAGCAAAUCUCCAAAUAGUGGUUUUAACCUCAUAGCAUUCAGCAUCUGUAAAAACUGUAGUUACCAUGGUAACAAGUUGUUACCCGAGUGACCGUGCUCUUAUGAUGUCAUCAGAAAACAGCCUGUUCCAAGGAGUACCUUGAACUCCCAUAUAUAAAAUGUUGCCCUUGCUGUGGUUCAGUAUGGAAACAAUUAGAAACUCGUAUUUUUAUGUCGUUAUGAAAUACCUCUUCUCAAUCUGUUGGCACAUCUUGACACCCACUGUGGAAUUUUUAAAGAAAACAAGAGAAUUACUUUGACCUUGUUGAAAGAGAGUUAUGUAAAACGUGUAUCUGGCAGUAGGAUGCUUUGGACUCAAUCUAUCCAGCAGCAGAAAGAGCUGGAGAAUGGAGCAACAACUGUAUUAUUGAAGAGCUCCAUAGCCACAGACUGGGAAAAGCAUGAUCGGAUGUGAUUUUCAGAACAGAUGCCCAAGCAGAGUUGGCAGUUAAUUAAAAGCACUAUGUACUUAAUGAUUAACUAAUCACAGCAUGAUGGCAUUCAACGGAGAUGCAAGAAACUUCUCUGCUGGAUUCAACAGAGAAACUCCUAAUGUCUGCCUUCAGGGAAGUAGAUGGAACGACAGGACUGGGCAGCAUCUCUGUGGUGGCAGCAGCACCCUCAUCACCCUAAUAACCACCCUCUGCUCAUUCUGCCCUCUCUCCAGUCUUGUUUCACUUCCACUUCCAGUCCUCAGCAAAACAAAUGAGUAGUGAGCUGCCUAGCAAAGAACAGAAGAUAAAGGUGGCAAGAAGAGGUUUAUAUCUUUGGUGUCUGCUGGAAGCAAGGAUAAUGUCUGGAUCCAUGUGGCACUAUGGCAGUUUUCUGGUGCCACUACAGGCAAGAGGAAUUUGUUCUGCUCUGGGUGUUAUUUGUGGCUGCCAGCAUGUAACUCAGCAGAUCUGGGACCUUGUCCCAGGGAUUUUCACGUGGAUAAGGCAGCCCUAGUAGAGUUGUUGGUCACUGUCCAGAAACCUUAAAAGUGUGCAGAAGCUUAGAGGCUGAACUGACCUUGCACAAACUUAGCCAACCUGAGCAAUCCAGAUGGGUGCUUCAUUAUUUAAGUGAUACUGCACUGUUAAGCUCCUUCAGAAAUGGACACGCCAAACCAACGUCUGAUCCUCAGAUCCUUAUCUCCUUUAUUUGCAGGACAAAGGAUUCUGAACCUCAAAUAGAACUGCAGAUGGAAAUGGUCCACGAGGGCCCAUUUCUCUCUACCCCAUCAGAAGUGUGUGGUGCUUCCCUUCUGUGUCAUGGAGCCACACUUGUAUGUGCAGAGUUGCCUUUGAACACAGAUGCAGGAUGCUUCGGAAGUGAUGGAUUGAGGUGCGCACAUAAUGACCUGUUCCAGUCAGAAACUGAGAGCCUCAGAAGGAGUUGCCAAGCAGAUCUAUAGAAUGAGAUUCAGCUAACUUGGCGUAUCUUCUGGGGAUUCAGAAGGGCCAUCAGCUACCAGCACCCACAGGAGGAAAACCAGCCAAACAAAGGUAUAAUUUUUGCAAGUUUUAGUGGAAGUGCAGUGAGCUUUAUUUCUUUCAUUCAUUACUGGUAUAUAUUCAUGAUUUUCUCCCUAGUAAAGGAGGACCUUAUAAAUAUUUGUUAAAUACAUUGAUGCACUACAAUGAGUUGACUGGAGUUAUGAACCUUGGGUCAGACUUAGGGUUUCAGACAUCAAACAGGAAUAAAACAGUUUUCACCCUGGGUGAACUGGUCCAGAAAGCUUUUUUCCCUUUUCUUGUUAUGCAAGCAAAUGGAAUAUGGUCCCCUAAAAUACUAUAAUCAUGAACUACAAGCUAUGUUUAUCUAUAGGCUCAAAAAGGAAUUGUGAGCCUUGAAAGUGGCAUGUAUAAGUAUAUAUGAAAGGUGCCAAAUUAGCAUCAAAUAAACAAAAGUGAUGUUCCAGAAAGCUGAAUUCAUUAAAGCUUCAUUCCUUGUAGCAAUAACAGAAGUUUUCCAUGCUAUCUGGAGCACCCCUGGCUUUUGAGAAAAGGAGAUGUGGUGAAAGUUAGAGUUGGUAAGAACUGCAGAAGGAGGCAAGGUAAGGUUUAUUUUGAAUAAUAAGUUGUUAUCUCAAAAUGAUAGAGAAUGAGUUAUACUACAUUUUAAAAGACAUUAGGCUUCAAAUAUAGCACCUGAUAGCAGCGCUUAUGAGCUUUUCUAAAAGGCUUCAUGUUUUGUCUAAUUUGGUUAUAACUGGUUUGCAUGAGCAAUUCUUUUGAAAUUACCUACAAUGGUGGCACUGAAAUGCAGUGACGUUGUUACAGACCUGGAUUGGCUGAAUGACUGAACUGACCAACUGCUAUUUUCACAACAAUUAUGUGGUUUUUCUUCUUGAGGGGUUUUUAGAUCAGAUCCCUGCAGGAACAGAACGAGUGGAGUUUUAAUUUUGUUAUUAUGAAUGUUUUGAUAUUACAGUAAUGAUUUUUUGAUACUUGUUAAUAAAACUUUGGGAUUAUAGUAGUGGAAGCCUCAGAGUAGCUUUCAUAAUCUAUUGAUUUUGUGUUUCAUAGGGGUGAUUUUUCUUUCUUUGUCACCAUCAGUUGUUUGGUUUCUUUAUUUUUGUGUAUAUUUCUGUGUUUUUGUCUACCAGCAAGUGCUGCUACUUACAAAGUAUAUGCAGAUUUACAUUACCCUAUCAAGCAUGUUUACAUUACCCUAUCAAGUGCCACCAGCACAGCCCAAGUUUCAUAACACAUCAUCAUACUCAGUGGGAACUUUGCUUCAGG
This is a non-coding RNA of Coturnix japonica (Japanese quail), 3761 nucleotides long. NCBI's taxonomy places the organism in Eukaryota, Metazoa, Chordata, Aves, Galliformes, Phasianidae. The record is from RefSeq and is a predicted model, not a curated record.